Molecule: long non-coding RNA, 3615 nt
Organism: Neopelma chrysocephalum (saffron-crested tyrant-manakin)
Lineage: Eukaryota; Metazoa; Chordata; Aves; Passeriformes; Pipridae
Exons: 3
Source: RefSeq, a predicted model, not a curated record
GCCGGUGUUGGCGGUGGCAGCAGUCCCCCAGGUCCCAGCUGGAGCGGGAUCAGUCGCUGUCAGGGCUUGGGGAAGGGACAGAAGCCCGUCUGCCCAGGGGGGUGUGCGCGGGGUGCGCAGGCGGCAGCAGCAGGGAGGAUUUUCCAUGUUCCUUUUGGGAUGGGGAGGUUCAUAGGUGGAAGUGAUGGGGGAGUAGGAGGUUUGAUUUCCCCCCCACUCCCCCGAUUUUUUUUUUUUUUUACUCUGUGAGAUUGAACUGAUCACCUGCCUCAGAUCUUGAGACUGAAGUAAACUUGAGAAAGCUUAGGAGUGCGGUCUGUUUACUUGUUUCCUGACUGGCAAUAGGAAUUUCUUCUCCUGUUCUUUUCUCGCUGCUGUGCUCUUACAGGUGUUUCUUCCAAACUGAGAUGUAUGAAGAGGUGUUGUCAUUUACUGCUUAUGUUCUGUCCUUUAAAGGUCCCGUGUCUGGUGGAUUUUCGUGGUCACUGCUGGUCUGUUUGCUAAUAAGUUCAAUGUUUGUUUUACUACUUCUUUAUUUAUCUUGGAUUUUUAAUGAGCUUUUGUGUUCAGAAAUGGUGGAUUGACAGCUGCGGCUUAGUCUGAACUCUUAGUAUUCCUUCAGCUGCAGUGCAAGGGACCAGAAAGUUUUCUAACAGGUUAAUGCUUGCGCUGUGCCUCAGGAAGGAUGAGGGCUCCAGGAAGGUACAUCUCAGAGGUACCUGUCCCAUCAGAUGCUGUUAGACAGCUGUUUGAGGAUUGUACUUGAUUUGUUUUGAGUGGCAACUUGAAUUUAUUUUGUCCUAUAGUUGCUCUUUGCAACAUUGUGCAUCUCAUAGCACUUGGUGUUAAAGUUGGCAUUUGAUCUUCUGUUUUCAAAUUAAGUGGUAUGUUAGAAGUCCAGUUGUUUACUCCUCAGUGUGGGAAGUUUGAUUUCAGUUGUUUUUUUUAAUUCAGGUAUUUUUCUUUCCCUUUUUGAAGCACUGACUUCUGCCUUUUGCAGCUGGAUUUUAAUGUUAAUUUACAGCGUGGACUAAAUGCCUGUUUUUGUUUGAAGAGUGACCCUGUGGCCUUUUAUGGUUCUUGUUUAUCUCAAACUUUGAGUAGCUCUACAUGAAUAGUAUGUUGGGUUUUUUUAAUAAAGUUUGUGUGUGUCUAGACAUAUUUGAGUGUUACCAAAAUCCAAAAGAAGAAAGUGAUUAAAGAAUUAAAGAAAAUGCUUGUGUGCUUGAUGCUAAAUAAAGAAGUCCUUGGAUUGAAUAUACUCUGAUAGGACCUAAAGUUUCUGUUCUGCUCUUGAGAGACACUUCAGUUUGCUUCCUUUAGGAGGCCUGAUUACAGCUGGUUUGGUGCUUAUCUUGUUUUGAUUCUGUUAACUUUGGAAGGCCUUGAUUUGAUUUUAUCUCCCCCCCCCCCUUAAAUUUUGGAAAUGGAGUUCUGGAAGAGACUUAAAUGUGACAAGUAUUUGCACUUUACUCUGUCCCUGUCUCAGUUCAGUGGUCACCUUUAGGAAAGGGCCACAAGGCUGGAGAGUGCAGGUGUGGUGGCAUCCAGCUGUGGCUGCAGGAGAGCACGGAAGGCUGUAAGCAACUGUGCUUUUGUCACAAGUCUGUCCUUGGAUCUGAAGCAGGUAUUUUUGCUGGAAGUGGUCAUCCUGAGACUCCUGGUGUUUUUCUCUAGUAGUGGUGAGCUAACAUACCAGCAUGGUGCCAUGGCAAGCGGGGGAAUGAGGGAAGAAGAGGAAAAGUUGUGGCUCUCAAAGCAUAACCUAGAGCAGAGGUGCUGGCUGUUGCUGCGAGGUAUCAUUUGGACCAUUUCCCUCCUCUAAGAGAAGUGAUCUGUGCUGGCCAAAUGCCAGCUGAGAAGUUAUAUUCUCUCCUGAUAUGUUGUGUAGAGUCAACAUCUUCCCUGGCUGGUUUUCCAGGCUCACUGAGACUGGAUUGUGUGGAAACCGUGUCCUGGUUGGAGCACUUGCCAGUCUACCUGGACAGAGCUUUAACACUUUUGGAGUUCAUUUGUGAAGAUCAAAAGUGACCACUGUGUUGAGCAACGUAAAUCUUGUCUCCCUGAAUCCAGACUGAGAUUCAUUUGGCACUCUCAGGUGUUAACCUUCAUUUUUUCAGAUAACAAAGUGACCAGUCCUUUGCUGUGUGGAACUUCUUCAGACUCCAGCUUAGACCCGUUUGCUCAUCUGCAGUUACUCUUGGAGGAGGUUUAAAAAUACACAGCAAAGCCUGUCUUAGGAGACCAGUCAAGGAGCUGACGAAAGUGGGUUGCCUAGCAGAGGUGGCCUAAUAAAAUUGGAGUGGAAUUAUACUGUGCAUCUUUGGGGCGGCUUCUGGGUGGUCUGUUUGGACGAGUUCACGUCCUGCUGGUGUGGAGUCUCGUGUGGGUUUCACUGUGUUGUCAAGUGAACUGAGAUGUGUUUGUUUCCCAGCCUUGUAGGGUGCCAUAGCUCCAGCAAGUGCUCCCCUAAGUAAUCAGCGCCUUCGGCCUCACACAUUGUGAUCUCACAAGCCAUCGCGUCUGUGAUGUCACAAUGGAAGAGAUUCUGGUGCUCUGACAUAUGUGGUCAGCCAAGGAACCCAGCGGGAAGAAUGAGCUCAAGAAAUGGGAGAGACCUUCCUUAACCCGAGAGUGCCCUCCGGCCUUUAGUCAGCCCUUCCCAUAUUCACUUGUCUCUUCCAUAAUGGCACUUAGAGGGAAACCAGUGCUUGUGUAGACUGAAUUAUUUUUUUCAGUUGAACUACUGAGAUGCAUGUUUCUCCCAGAUGAGUGGUUGCCCAACUAUCCUCCUGUAACCUUCAUUCUUUUCUGCUGUUCACCUCACUUGUUGUAUUGCUUCUAAUUUUAGACUGUAAGUUCUUGAGAACAGGGACCUCUUCGUCUGUAGUGGGAAGAGCCUGGGUGCAAUUGUGGAGUGCUGUAAAAACAAAAUGAUGGAUGCCAAGCUGUGUCUGAGCUGAGUAAUGAUGGGGCAGCAUAUAGGCAUGCCGUGGCAAUGCUUUGGGAAAGUUACAUUACAUAUUUUCCAAAACACAGGCUUGGUUGUCUAGCAGUGCCCGAGACAAACCCGGCCAAACGUGAAGGGAGUGCAGCCAUGGAAUUGUACUGUUUUCAUGUUCAAGAGAUGGUGCUGUGAGGUCAACAAAUUAAAGAUGCAGAUUUACCUGUCUAAAAUUGUGUUACUUUAUUAAAUGGUUCUAAAAGCUUUGUCUUUUGUUGUUUGUUUUACUUUAUGUAUUUAUUUUUUUUUGCAAGGUUGGAUGGUGAGAGUGGAUAAGCUGGUCUUGUUUCUUGUUUCCUGCCUCACAGUCUAGCCAGGUGCUGUCAUUUUUGGACUGUAGUUCAUCUAAUGAAAUAUUUGGGUUUAGGUUAAGGUUGAUUUAAAAAAAAAUCUGAGUUAUCUCUAUUGUUCUUCAGUUAUAUUUUCACACAAGUGAAAUAUGGGCUCACAUUUGACCUCUGAGUAUGCAUUUGAACAGCUACCAAAAUUGAAGUCCUGCAUUUUUUUGUUAUACUGUGUUCCAGAUGUUGCUAAAUGUAUGCAAUUUUGUUCUAUCAAAAGCAUCUCUAUUACCCUAUCUUUUUACAAUUUAAUAAAAUAGACAAACCUGA